CGUUUCGAGUUUUUCCCCCCCUCCGUUUUCUUUCCUCGCUGGAUGAAGACAUAGAGGAGGGACGGUAACUGCCAGAGCGGAUAGAGUUUUCGCCGGGCUUUUAACUACAGAGUCUCCAACCUCACAGACCCUCUGUACCAACGUAUGGGCCCCAACGACAGUCUAAGCGCUACCGAUAUAAAUGUAAAUGGUUUGGCGAACAGAGAAUCCAGCCAGUCCAACAUCAUCAGCUGGGAGCUCAGGAUCCUGUCUAAUUCCAAGGCCAUUUGAACAACUAUGCAGCCCCCACCAUGGCCCCCAUAGUCACCAAAAUCCCCACGAUCACCCCAAUCACCACUGUGUUUCCUCCUGAAGACGCCCCUGCAGAAAGCAGAGAGAUCAGUUAGUGUCCAGGCACAUUUUCACACAGACACUCGAUCCUCAGUCAGUGUAAAAUGUCACUGAAGCAGCCAGUAGAGCCGCAUCACCGAGCCGACAGCCCGACCCAGAGCAGCUUUCUGUCUGACCCCUUUCUGCAACUGUUACGGAUCCUCCUCAGGGGCACAACAGCAGAUCCACACCCUUAAGCACCAUGUCCACUAGACCCUGAACAGCCAGUCUGAAAAAGUUAGUCACUCAAAAAAUGCUAGAUGCUAAUAGUGCAGGAAGGCCAGGCUGUGAGGAGUGUGUAUCUGCUGUGAGCUGCAUCGGCACCGCGCUCCCAUUCUGCAGAAUGACAUAGGAAUCACACUGGGGCAGAAGUAUGUUUAUCACACAGGGUAUAAACUCACCUGGAGGAUCUUCUCUCUCUCUGUAUGGCCUGCAAACAGGAUCUGAUCCAGGAGGGAAAAGAGAAACUAAUCAGCAGAUCCUGUGAGAAUUCUGACUGUUUAUUCCUGUUUGUACCAAACCCUGUCAUACAGCCAUCAUCUCUGAUCACUAGCAAUGAGUUUGUAUGCUGCACUCACACGUACAUUAGGGAGCCUGCAACAUCCCAUCAUAUUCAUAUCGCUUAAUCAGCAUGUGUGCUACGCUCUUAGUCACAGUGCCACUGAGUGCGUCGUCAUGGACACAGAUAAAACACAGACGGAAACCUAAGCUGGGGAGUCAGCCUUUCCAUUAAAUAAACCUACA
Molecule: long non-coding RNA, 1113 nt
Organism: Brienomyrus brachyistius
Lineage: Eukaryota; Metazoa; Chordata; Actinopteri; Osteoglossiformes; Mormyridae
Exons: 3
Source: RefSeq, a predicted model, not a curated record